ACCUCCCGCGCAUGCUCUAUGGGGUAGAGACGCUAGGCCGGCACUGCCUAGGUGGGCCGGGCGGUGCGAGGGUCGCCUUUCAGCCUUUACCUCUACCCACUGAAAUGGAGUAGGUCGGUGAGCGCCGAUCUGCUGGAGAAUCUCAUUAUCCCAUCGGCGCUCUGCCUGCUCCUGGCCUCCAAGCCUCUGAAGCCCCUCGGGUUUCAGCUGCCGGCUACCCUCGAGCCCGUGGUGCCCACGAGAGAGGCGACUUUACGUCAGCGGCCCUGGGCUGAGAUUUGAGAACGCGACCAAGUGGAGAAUGUUGGAGCCAGAUUUUAAAAUCCUUGUCUUCCUUCUGCGUGCUACUUGAUCUAAAUGAGAUACGGCAAAGUCACAGAACCUGUUUUUAUGUUUUUGCCUGAUUCAUACGGGCUUCUCCGGUGAAGAUGGGCCUGAAGUAACGCUUGGGUUGCUUCUGACGUUAUAACUCAUCCUGUAGCUGCAGCAACCGUGGUCCUUGCAACCUCAUAAAAAUGUUGCCAGCAUUGUUUCGAUAGUGCUGCUUAAUUCUUGGAAGGUUCUUCGGACUUCACACAUUCCAGCAGUAGCUCUCUCAGCUCCUGUCCUGCACAGCUUUGAAGUGCUGUUAACCAACAGGACACAGCCCUGGUGAUGGCUUUCUGAGGAUGACACGAUGGAGGCUUCUCCAAUAGCUCUAAAACUGCGGUGUGGAAAACAUUCGGCAGCCUCAAAGAGCGGUCUUGUUGACCCCAACUAUAUCAUUUUUCAUCAAAAUCAUUCUUGUAAAGAAUGACCAGGCAACACUCUUUGAAAAUUGGAGGCCAUUUGCAGCUGCUCUCUGUUGAGGAAAGUGAAUAAUAGGGUGCCCUCAAGGAAUUGCAAAGGUAUCACUCAACAGAAACUUUCGUGUCUGAAGAAAACUAGAUCAUUUUAUCAUGGUAGGCAUGCUGAUAUGUUUGCUUUAAUAAAAUGCCAUAUUUCUGCCUUUAAUCUCUUGUCAACCCGCUAUUAAAAAGCCCCAAAGUGCAUGUGUGCAGCGCAUGUAAACACUUGUGGUUUUGAGGUUACCACAGAACAUACUAAUAAAGCAUGUAAUUUGU
RNAcentral lists this long non-coding RNA (1103 nucleotides) under Homo sapiens (human). RNAcentral describes it as "hepatocellular carcinoma up-regulated long non- coding RNA". The record is from RNAcentral. Lineage: Eukaryota; Metazoa; Chordata; Mammalia; Primates; Hominidae.